RNAcentral lists this small RNA (51 nucleotides) under pig gut metagenome. RNAcentral describes it as "Streptococcus sRNA SpF59 (ldcC RNA)". It matches the Rfam family "Streptococcus sRNA SpF59 (ldcC RNA)". The record is from RNAcentral.
GACCACCUCCGGUGAGGUCAAGGCCAUACGGACAGCCGGGUCCACUGCCGA